RNAcentral lists this ribosomal RNA (497 nucleotides) under uncultured bacterium. Its description in RNAcentral is "partial 16S ribosomal RNA". It matches the Rfam family "Bacterial small subunit ribosomal RNA", at positions 28 to 507 of the family's 1533-position model. The record is from RNAcentral.
GAUGAACGCUGGCGGCGUGCCUAAUACAUGCAAGUCGAGCGAACAGACGAGGAGCUUGCUCCUCUGACGUUAGCGGCGGGCGGGUGAGUAACACGUGGAUAACCUACCUAUAAGACUGGGAUAACUUCGGGAAACCGGAGCUAAUACCGGAUAAUAUAUUGAACCGCAUGGUUCAAUAGUGAAAGACGGUUUUGCUGUCACUUAUAGAUGGAUCCGCGCCGCAUUAGCUAGUUGGUAAGGUAACGGCUUACCAAGGCAACGAUGCGUAGCCGACCUGAGAGGGUGAUCGGCCACACUGGAACUGAGACACGGUCCAGACUCCUACGGGAGGCAGCAGUAGGGAAUCUUCCGCAAUGGGCGAAAGCCUGACGGAGCAACGCCGCGUGAGUGAUGAAGGUCUUCGGAUCGUAAAACUCUGUUAUUAGGGAAGAACAAAUGUGUAAGUAACUAUGCACGUUUUGACGGUACCUAAUCAGAAAGCCACGGCUAACUACGUG